CCGUAGUCCGCAGCCACGUCUGUCUCCGCAGCCUGCGCCCGGCCACAUGCUACUAUGUCAUGUCUUCGUUGGCCAUCUCUUCUCCCUUCCUGCUGUGUAAGGAUUUUUUUUAUUUCCAAUUCCAAGCAGGUAUGCCAACUCUUCUCCUUUCCUGCUGUAUAUGGAUUUUGAUUGGUUGUCCAAUUUUAAUCUGCUCCUCGAACUCUUAAGUAGACCGUUUGUGGUUAUAGGAAUCUCUUAAGCAAGAACUUAAAAAAAAGACAUGGAAAAGUAGAAAACACUAAGGUAUGGUUGUCACUUAGGAUGGAAAAGAGGCUUUCACACUUGCAUUCCUGUGGCUCUCUCUCCUGGCUGGCUCUGCUCAUUUUGCAUUCUUGUGGUUAACAUGGUUAAACCUGAGUUUCCUAUUCCAUAGAGACUAAAGAAGAAAGCCACUGGUCACUGUGUUUUGAUCGUUGAUGUUCUGUGAAGGAAGAGCGACCAAUUUCUUUUUUCAGGUGAAUAUCAAAGCAAGAGAGAGCUGAGUCAGGACCUCGGUUCAGGCAAGCACGUCGGCACCAGUAUUGCAUCAGGUGAACAUGUAAGUACCUUAUUAGCUAGCCUAUAUCUUCUUUGUUCAGUUGCAGCAAAUAGAUCACUACUGGUUCUUCCUUGGUGUCAAUUCAUCACCUAGAUAAAGGCAUGAGUCCCUUGGUGUCAGUACCUAUGAGUUUAUUCACGCAUAGUUGUAGCAAUAAUACUUGAUAGGUUGGAUCUUAUCUCUAAAGAAUAUAAGAGAUAUGUGUAGUUGCAGCAUCACUUAUUGCUGUCUCAUCAUUUUUUUUAAAAAAUAUUUAUAUGUACUGAUGGAGACUUGAAAAUAUCAGGUGCAGGCUGUAUCAAUUUGUUCAAAUUUUUUAUUUUUCCCUUGCUAUGAAGCAAUGCACAGGCCACUGACUUUUUGGGUUUCCAAACAUAUUUCCUAGCUUUGCUUUCCAUGAUUUUUAUUGCUUUGUUUUGUUCAUUCUCUGAUCGGUAAUGUAUUUCUUUUAUGCAUGUUUGAAUUACAUGUUUCCACACAGUUGCAUUGCAUCAUGCAGUCCAACUAUAUGCAGAAAUUUCUGAUUUACAGCAUCACUCAUUGUCGCAGGUUGUGGUGAUGUUGGCUAUUGAGAAGGGCAGCCAUGCUGUUGAGAAGGGAUGGCCGUGGAGAGAGCUGCGGGUGAUGAGCGAAAAUUGAGAGAAUGUGUGUUGUGUGUGCUUGAUAUUUUCAGCUCCUCACCCGAAUGCUCGCUCCGGUCGAGAAUCAUGAAAUGAAGAGUUACCAAACAAGCUCCAAUGUUACAUGUGAUUAUAUUUUAUGAAUGAAAAAUGUACAAUUUGUUUUUAUCUCUUGAUUAUGGUCGGAUGUUUUCCCUUAUGUCUAUCAUGUUCUAGCACAUUGUUACGCUGGGAGAAUUGGUAGCCUUGUAUAUUGUUUUAUUGUCAGUGUUUUUGUCAUUCUGUUACGAAUUUCUAAAAUAUGAAUGGCUACUGCUAUGUAUCAGUGGAGGAAGAUUUACGCUAUGUAAAUCCAAAACAGGUAUAUAUAAGAAAUUUCAAACAAAAGUGAAUUUUA
This 1597-nucleotide long non-coding RNA is filed under the name Sorghum bicolor (sorghum). RNAcentral describes it as "long non-coding RNA (SBIC_LNC012097)". The record is from RNAcentral. Lineage: Eukaryota; Viridiplantae; Streptophyta; Magnoliopsida; Poales; Poaceae.